CAGCAGCCACGGGAAUACGAAGGGGGCUAGCGUUGCUCGGAAUGACUGGGCGUAAAGGGCGCGUAGGCGGCGAUCAAAGUCAGGCGUGAAAUUCCUGGGCUCAACCUGGGGGCUGCGUUUGAUACUUGAUUGCUAGAGUGGGGAAGAGGGUCGUGGAAUUCCCAGUGUAGAGGUGAAAUUCGUAGAUAUUGGGAAGAACACCGGUGGCGAAGGCGGCGACCUGGUCCUUGACUGACGCUGAGGCGCGAAAGCGUGGGGAGCAAACAGGAUUAGAUACCCCCGUAGUCCCUGUCUCUUAUAC
RNAcentral lists this ribosomal RNA (301 nucleotides) under uncultured bacterium. RNAcentral describes it as "partial 16S ribosomal RNA". It matches the Rfam family "Bacterial small subunit ribosomal RNA", at positions 509 to 807 of the family's 1533-position model. The record is from RNAcentral.